Molecule: ribosomal RNA, 828 nt
Filed under: Caesiodiscus populicola
Lineage: Eukaryota; Fungi; Ascomycota; Leotiomycetes; Helotiales
Description: partial large subunit ribosomal RNA
Rfam family: Eukaryotic large subunit ribosomal RNA
Source: RNAcentral
GAAAUCUGGCUUUCACCGGGCCCGAGUUGUAAUUUGCAGAAGAUGCUUGGGGCGGGGCCGCGUUCUAGGUCCCUUGGAACAGGGCGUCAUAGAGGGUGAGAAUCCCGUACGUGACCGCGCGCCUCUGCCCGUGUCAAGCUCUUUCGACGAGUCGAGUUGUUUGGGAAUGCAGCUCAAAGCGGGUGGUAAAUUCCAUCUAAGGCUAAAUACCGGCCAGAGACCGAUAGCGCACAAGUAGAGUGAUCGAAAGAUGAAAAGCACUUUGGAAAGAGAGUCAAACAGUACGUGAAAUUGUUGAAAGGGAAGCGCUUGCAACCAGACUUGGGCGCCGACGGUCACCCGGUGUUCUCACCGGCGCACUCGGCGGCGCGCAGGCCAGCAUCGGUUCGGGCGGUCGGAGAAAGGCCCUGGAAAUGUGGCUCCCCUUGGGGAGUGUUAUAGCCCGGGGCGCAAUGCGGCCAGCCCGGACCGAGGACCGCGCUUCGGCUAGGAUGCUGGCGUAAUGGUUGUAAUCGACCCGUCUUGAAACACGGACCAAGGAGUCUAACAUCUAUGCGAGUGUUUGGGUGUCAAACCCAUCCGCGCAAUGAAAGUGAACGGAGGUGAGAACCCUGAAGGGUGCAUCAUCGACCGAUCCUGAUGUCUUCGGAUGGAUUUGAGUAAGAGCAUAGCUGUUGGGACCCGAAAGAUGGUGAACUAUGCCUGAAUAGGGUGAAGUCAGAGGAAACUCUGAUGGAGGCUCGCAGCGGUUCUGACGUGCAAAUCGAUCGUCAAAUUUGGGCAUAGGGGCGAAAGACUAAUCGAACCAUCUGGUAGCUGGUUCUGCGA